Molecule: ribosomal RNA, 254 nt
Filed under: uncultured bacterium
Lineage: Bacteria
Description: partial 16S ribosomal RNA
Rfam family: Bacterial small subunit ribosomal RNA
Source: RNAcentral
CACGUAGGGGGCAAGCGUUGUCCGGAUUUAUUGGGCGUAAAGAGCUCGUAGGCGGUUCGGUAAGUUGGGAGUGAAACCUCCAGGCUCAACCUGGAGACGCCACCCGAUACUGCUGUGACUAGAGUCCGGUAGGGGAGCGUGGAAUUCCUGGUGUAGCGGUGAAAUGCGCAGAUAUCAGGAGGAACACCAGCGGCGAAGGCGGCGCUCUGGGCCGGAACUGACGCUGAGGAGCGAAAGCGUGGGUAGCAAACAGG